AUUGAACGCUGGCGGCAUGCUUUACACAUGCAAGUCGAACGGUAACAGGGUGCUUGCACCGCUGACGAGUGGCGAACGGGUGAGUAAUGCGUCGGAACGCACCGAGUAAUGGGGGAUAACGCAGCGAAAGCUGUGCUAAUACCGCAUACGCUCUGAGGAGGAAAGCGGGGGACCUUCGGGCCUCGCGUUAUUCGAGCGGCCGACGUCUGAUUAGCUAGUAGGUGAGGUAAGAGCUCACCUAGGCGACGAUCAGUAGCGGGUCGGAGAGGAUGAGCCGCAACACUGGGAGUGAGACACGGCCCAGACUCCUACGGGAGGCAGCAGUGGGGAAUUUUGGACAAUGGGCGCAAGCCUGAUCCAGCCAUGCCGCGUGUCUGAAGAAGGCCUUCGGGUUGUAAAGGACUUUUGUCAGGGAGGAAAUCCUUAGCGCUAAUACCGUUGAGGGAUGACAGUACCUGAAGAAUAAGCACCGGCUAACUACGUGCCAGCAGCCGCAGUAA
Molecule: ribosomal RNA, 500 nt
Filed under: uncultured bacterium
Lineage: Bacteria
Description: partial 16S ribosomal RNA
Rfam family: Bacterial small subunit ribosomal RNA
Source: RNAcentral